CCCUCCCACCAAAACUUUAGGCUUUCUGCCUUUAGUACAAAGAAUUGUUGUUGCUAUUAUUAUUAUUAUUAUUAUUAUUAUUAUUA
Octopus sinensis (East Asian common octopus) is the source of this 86-nucleotide long non-coding RNA. RefSeq lists it as uncharacterized. The transcript is spliced from 3 exons. The record is from RefSeq and is a predicted model, not a curated record. NCBI's taxonomy places the organism in Eukaryota, Metazoa, Mollusca, Cephalopoda, Octopoda, Octopodidae.